GUUCAUGGCUCAGGAUGAACGCUAGCUACAGGCUUAACACAUGCAAGUCGAGGGGCAGCGGGAAGUCAGUUUGCUGACUUUGCCGGCGACCGGCGCACGGGUGAGUAACACGUAUCCAACCUUCCAGUUACUCUGGGAUAGCCUUUCGAAAGAAAGAUUAAUACCGGAUAGUAUCGAGAGAUUGCAUGAUUACCCGAUUAAAGAUUCAUCGGUAACGGAUGGGGAUGCGUUCCAUUAGGCAGUUGGG
This 247-nucleotide ribosomal RNA is filed under the name uncultured bacterium. RNAcentral describes it as "partial 16S ribosomal RNA". It matches the Rfam family "Bacterial small subunit ribosomal RNA", at positions 15 to 253 of the family's 1533-position model. The record is from RNAcentral.